Molecule: ribosomal RNA, 280 nt
Filed under: uncultured bacterium
Lineage: Bacteria
Description: partial 16S ribosomal RNA
Rfam family: Bacterial small subunit ribosomal RNA
Source: RNAcentral
UGCAGUCGAGCGGAGUGAUGGUAGCUUGCUCCCUGAUGUCAGCGGCGGACGGGUGAGUAACACGUGGGCAACCUGCCUGUAAGACUGGUAUAACUUCGGGAAACCGGAGCUAAUACCGGAUAACACCGAGGACCACAUGGUCCUUGGUUGAAAGAUGGUUUCGGCUAUCACUUACAGAUGGGAUUGCGGCGCAUUAGCUAGUUGGUGAGGUUUGGCUCACCAAGGCCACGAUGCGUAGCCGACCUGAGAGGGUGAUCGGCCACACUGGGACUGACACACG